RNAcentral lists this ribosomal RNA (471 nucleotides) under Salmonella bongori. Its description in RNAcentral is "partial 23S ribosomal RNA". It matches the Rfam family "Bacterial large subunit ribosomal RNA", at positions 2210 to 2680 of the family's 2925-position model. Lineage: Bacteria; Pseudomonadati; Pseudomonadota; Gammaproteobacteria; Enterobacterales; Enterobacteriaceae. The record is from RNAcentral.
AUGGCUGGUGUUCUAACGUGGGCCCCUGACCGGGGUUGCGGACAGUGUCUGGUGGGUAGUUUGACUGGGGCGGUCUCCUCCCAAAGAGUAACGGAGGAGCACGAAGGUUGGCUAAUCCUGGUCGGACAUCAGGAGGUUAGUGCAAUGGCAUAAGCCAGCUUGACUGCGAGCGUGACGGCGCGAGCAGGUGCGAAAGCAGGUCAUAGUGAUCCGGUGGUUCUGAAUGGAAGGGCCAUCGCUCAACGGAUAAAAGGUACUCCGGGGAUAACAGGCUGAUACCGCCCAAGAGUUCAUAUCGACGGCGGUGUUUGGCACCUCGAUGUCGGCUCAUCACAUCCUGGGGCUGAAGUAGGUCCCAAGGGUAUGGCUGUUCGCCAUUUAAAGUGGUACGCGAGCUGGGUUUAGAACGUCGUGAGACAGUUCGGUCCCUAUCUGCCGUGGGCGCUGGAAGAUUGAGGGGGGCUGCUCCUA